UUCGUCCAAGUGAAGCAGAGGACAGUGGCGGACGGGUGAGUAACGCGUGAGGAACCUGCCUUGAAGAGGGGGACAACAGUUGGAAACGACUGCUAAUACCGCAUGACGCAUAGGGGUCGCAUGAUCUUUAUGCCAAAGAUUUAUCGCUUCAAGAUGGCCUCGCGUCUGAUUAGCUGGUUGGCGGGGUAACGGCCCACCAAGGCGACGAUCAGUAGCCGACCUGAGAGGGUGAUCGGCCACAUUGGAACUGAGAAACGGUCCAGACUCC
This 268-nucleotide ribosomal RNA is filed under the name uncultured Eubacteriales bacterium. RNAcentral's name for it is "uncultured Clostridiales bacterium partial 16S ribosomal RNA". It matches the Rfam family "Bacterial small subunit ribosomal RNA", at positions 74 to 339 of the family's 1533-position model. Lineage: Bacteria; Bacillati; Bacillota; Clostridia; Eubacteriales. The record is from RNAcentral.